Molecule: ribosomal RNA, 494 nt
Filed under: uncultured bacterium
Lineage: Bacteria
Description: partial 16S ribosomal RNA
Rfam family: Bacterial small subunit ribosomal RNA
Source: RNAcentral
GACGAACGCUGGCGGCGUGCUUAACACAUGCAAGUCGAACGGUGAAGCGCCUUCCUUUUUGGUGGGGGUGGAUGAGUGGCGAACGGGUGAGUAACACGUGAGUAACCUGCCCCCUCCUUCUGGAUAACCGCAUGAAAGUGUGGCUAAUACGGGAUAUCCUGGGCCUGUCGCAUGAUGGGUCUGGGAAAGUUAUUGUUUCGGUGGGGGAUGGGCUCGCGGCCUAUCAGCUUGUUGGUGGGGUGAUGGCCUACCAAGGCGGUGACGGGUAGCCGGCCUGAGAGGGUGGACGGUCACACUGGGACUGAGACACGGCCCAGACUCCUACGGGAGGCAGCAGUGGGGAAUAUUGCACAAUGGGCGCAAGCCUGAUGCAGCGACGCCGCGUGAGGGAUGGAGGCCUUCGGGUUGUGAACCUCUUUCGCCAGUGAAGCAGGCCUGCCUCGUUUGUGGGUGGGUUGACGGUAGCUGGAUAAGAAGCGCCGGCUAACUACGUG